RNAcentral lists this ribosomal RNA (496 nucleotides) under uncultured bacterium. RNAcentral describes it as "partial 16S ribosomal RNA". It matches the Rfam family "Bacterial small subunit ribosomal RNA", at positions 28 to 506 of the family's 1533-position model. The record is from RNAcentral.
GACGAACGCUGGCGGCGUGCCUAAUACAUGCAAGUUGAGCGCUGAAGGUUGGUACUUGUACCAACUGGAUGAGCAGCGAACGGGUGAGUAACGCGUGGGGAAUCUGCCUUUGAGCGGGGGACAACAUUUGGAAACGAAUGCUAAUACCGCAUAAAAACUUUAAACACAAGUUUUAAGUUUGAAAGAUGCAAUUGCAUCACUCAAAGAUGAUCCCGCGUUGUAUUAGCUAGUUGGUGAGGUAAAGGCUCACCAAGGCGAUGAUACAUAGCCGACCUGAGAGGGUGAUCGGCCACAUUGGGACUGAGACACGGCCCAAACUCCUACGGGAGGCAGCAGUAGGGAAUCUUCGGCAAUGGACGAAAGUCUGACCGAGCAACGCCGCGUGAGUGAAGAAGGUUUUCGGAUCGUAAAACUCUGUUGGUAGAGAAGAACGUUGGUGAGAGUGGAAAGCUCAUCAAGUGACGGUAACUACCCAGAAAGGGACGGCGAACUACGU